AGAGUUUGAUCAUGGCUCAGAGUGAACGCUGGCGGUAGGCCUAACACAUGCAAGUCGAACGGCAGCACAGUAAGAGCUUGCUCUUACGGGUGGCGAGUGGCGGACGGGUGAGGAAUACAUCGGAAUCUACUUUUUCGUGGGGGAUAACGUAGGGAAACUUACGCUAAUACCGCAUACGACCUACGGGUGAAAGCAGGGGAUCUUCGGACCUUGCGCGAUUAAAUGAGCCGAUGUCGGAUUAGCUAGUUGGCGGGGUAAAGGCCCACCAAGGCGACGAUCCGUAGCUGGUCUGAGAGGAUGAUCAGCCACUCUGGAACUGAGACACGGUCCAGACUCCUACGGGAGGCAGCAGUGAGGAAUAUUGGACAAUGGGCGCAAGCCUGAUCCAGCCAUACCGCGUGGGUGAAGAAGGCCUUCGGGUUGUAAAGCCCUUUUGUUGGGAAAGAAAUCCAGCUGGCUAAUACCCGGUUGGGAUGACGGUACCCAAAGAAUAAGCACCGGCUAACUUCGUGCCAGCAGCCGCGGUAAUACGAAGGGUGCAAGCGUUACUCGGAAUUACUGGGCGUAAAGCGUGCGUAGGUGGUCGUUUAAGUCCGUUGUGAAAGCCCUGGGCUCAACCUGGGAACUGCAGUGGAUACUGGGCGACUAGAGUGUGGUAGAGGGUAGCGGAAUUCCUGGUGUAGCAGUGAAAUGCGUAGAGAUCAGGAGGAACAUCCAUGGCGAAGGCAGCUACCUGGACCAACACUGACACUGAGGCACGAAAGCGUGGGGAGCAAACCGGAUUAGAUACCCUGGUAGUCC
Molecule: ribosomal RNA, 801 nt
Filed under: uncultured bacterium
Lineage: Bacteria
Description: bacterial SSU rRNA
Rfam family: Bacterial small subunit ribosomal RNA
Source: RNAcentral